RNAcentral lists this ribosomal RNA (490 nucleotides) under uncultured bacterium. Its description in RNAcentral is "partial 16S ribosomal RNA". It matches the Rfam family "Bacterial small subunit ribosomal RNA", at positions 29 to 507 of the family's 1533-position model. The record is from RNAcentral.
AGUGAACGCUGGCGGUAGGCCUAACACAUGCAAGUCGAACGGCAGCACAGGAGAUCUUGCUCUCUGGGUGGCGAGUGGCGGACGGGUGAGGAAUACAUCGGAAUCUGCCCAGUCGUGGGUGAUAACGUAGGGAAACUUACGCUACUACCGCAUACGACCUGCUGGUGAGAGAGGGGGAGCGCAAUACCUCUCGCGAGUGGAUGCGCCGAUGUCGGAUGCGCUAGUUGGCGGGGUAAUGGCCCACCAAGGCGACGAUCCGUAGCUGGUCUGAGAGGAUGAUCAGCCACACUGGAACUGAGACACGGUCCAGACUCCUACGGGAGGCAGCAGUGGGGAAUAUUGGACAAUGGGCGCAAGCCUGAUCCAGCCAUACCGCGUGGGUGAAGAAGGCCUUCGGGUUGUAAAGCCCUUUUGUUGGGAAAGAAAUCUUUCAGGCUAAUACCCUGGGAGGAUGACGGUACCCAAAGAAUAAGCACCGGCUAACUUCGUG